RNAcentral lists this transfer RNA (90 nucleotides) under Gemmatimonadota bacterium. RNAcentral's name for it is "Gemmatimonadetes bacterium (marine sediment metagenome) tRNA-Gly". It matches the Rfam family "tRNA". Rfam says of the family: Transfer RNA (tRNA) molecules are approximately 80 nucleotides in length. Lineage: Bacteria; Pseudomonadati; Gemmatimonadota. The record is from RNAcentral. RNAcentral also lists the same sequence under 1 other name.
GUGCUCCCGUGGCGGAACUGGUAGACGCGUCUGCUUGCCACGCAGAUGACCGCGAGGUCGUGUGGGUUCGACUCCCACCGGGGCACGCCA